GCUCCUCGCUCGCUCCCGCCCCAACCAUGCAGCCCUCCAACGCCCCCAAUCACGACGCCGCGCAAACCAUAGCGGCAUCGAGCACGACGGGGGGCCUCGCCGUCGAUUUGCCGGCCGUGGGAGCCGCUGCUCUUCCGCCGGACAAGCGCGUCUCCAAGGCCGCGAGCGAGCUCCGGCACCCCUGCCUCGCCAGCGUCUUCCCACGCCAUGGGCGCGGCCGUGAGCGCCGGAUUGAACGCGCCCACGACCUGUAGGGCCUUGCCCCUCUGCAACUCUUCCUCGAUGACGCGAGCUCGCCGGCGCCUCGUUCUGCAGCCCCUGCCUCCCCGAACUGAUGGUGGUGCUCUCCUGCCCGUGGUGGUGCUGCCGACGAGCACGUCCCCGAGCACCUGCACGACUAGCUGCUGCCGGUGGUCUUGAAGUCACUUGGUCUCCAUCAUACAACAUUGGCUGCUUCUGGCCGGCUUGCGCACACUGGAGCAGUAGUGCGUGCUCACUGACCGACUUUCGCCAUGCUGGAUGUCUACAUCUUCAAGGAAGGUGAAUGAAUGAAGCAACAUGUAGCAGAUCUGGCUACUACCGUUGUCAUGAUGCUACUAGUAGGACCUCUACUUCGAGAAGGAAGUAGGGCUCGCCUGUUGGUUGGUUCUUGUGUGGCGCCCUCGCUGCCUGUGUUCAGCACCGACGAGUCUGAAACCGGAGAGGACGCCGCUGUCCUGCUUCUUGGCUGUGGACGACCUCGAGCACGAGGUCCCCAGGGUGGACACGCUCGCCGGCAUCACCAUCAAGUUCAGGUUCAAGGUAGAGAUCAUGGCCAUGGCCAUGGAUUUGUAUCUCAACUGCUCUCUGGAGCCACCCGCCUCAAGGACUCAUUGCUCCGCCAAGAAAAUGCCUCCCUCCUCCAGGUUGUGUAUUACCUUCUCCCCAUAAAAUUCUCUUCUUUUAUUUCUUACCAGCUGGCAGCUGCUCAUGUAGUUCUGGGUGGUUAAAAAAUAAAAAUAGCCGCCGAAUAAAGUUGACUUCUACUAUAUUUUAAAUUACUUUGCAGUGUGCCACUACAAUUUAUUGGCCAAGUUGGCAGUUGCCAUCAACUGCAACUUACUCGCCUUCCCAGAAUAUUUCAACAUCACCAUUUUCACCGCUAGCUCUGCUGCUCUGACUAUUUCUUGAUAUUUCAUUGGCAUGCCUGUGAACAUGUAAUUGCUGGCGCUAACUAAGUGACAGAUUCUAUUUGCAGGACUGAGAAGCGGAGCUGGAGGUGGUCAGAGGAGGUAGCGGUGGUGGCCUUCUUCCUCUACUUCUCGGUGGUUUAGGUAGACGUGGCGUUUUGAAUGACAAAGAUCAGCACCUGCAUCUCCAACUGAUGGAACCAGAAGAGGAGGCUGAUCAUCUCCACCUUGUGCAAAGGAUUCUGCCUAAGGUAGUGAACGAAGUUUUGGGACUGAGAAGCGGAGCUGGAGGUGGCCAGAGGAGGUAGUGGUGGUGGGCUUGUUUGCUCUACUUGUGGGUGGUUCAGGUAACAGUCAGAUGAGCUGAAUUUUGGUUGUCAGCUGAUGCACGGGAGGAGGCGCCGCAGGAGCUCCACUUGCACCUGGGGUGCGGCUGCAGGGAGGACGGCGGCGAGCUCGGACGACGCGACGACUAGCUGGGGCGUGGCGGCGCGCUGCAGGCAGGACGACGACUAGCUCGGGCUCCGCAGCAAAGAGGAUGUCGACGUACGCGAGAUGAAGCGGGGCGCCACCGGACGUGGACGAAGAUGCGUAUUAUUUGUAUAUAUUUGAGGUGGUGGAGAGGAUUUUUGGUGAUGCAUGGCUAAGACGCUAAAAAGUUGAUGGAUUCUCGUUA
This is a long non-coding RNA of Lolium rigidum, 1845 nucleotides long. RefSeq lists it as uncharacterized. NCBI's taxonomy places the organism in Eukaryota, Viridiplantae, Streptophyta, Magnoliopsida, Poales, Poaceae. The transcript has 7 exons. The record is from RefSeq and is a predicted model, not a curated record.